UUUGAUCCUGGCUCAGGACGAACGCUGGCGGCGUGCUUAACACAUGCAAGUCGAACGAUGAACCACUUCGGUGGGGAUUAGUGGCGAACGGGUGAGUAACACGUGGGCAAUCUGCCCUGCACUCUGGGACAAGCCCUGGAAACGGGGUCUAAUACCGGAUACUGACCCGCUUGGGCAUCCAAGCGGUUCGAAAGCUCCGGCGGUGCAGGAUGAGCCCGCGGCCUAUCAGCUUGUUGGUGAGGUAAUGGCUCACCAAGGCGACGACGGGUAGCCGGCCUGAGAGGGCGACCGGCCACACUGGGACUGAGACACGGCCCAGACUCCUACGGGAGGCAGCAGUGGGGAAUAUUGCACAAUGGGCGAAAGCCUGAUGCAGCGACGCCGCGUGAGGGAUGACGGCCUUCGGGUUGUAAACCUCUUUCAGCAGGGAAGAAGCGAAAGUGACGGUACCUGCAGAAGAAGCGCCGGCUAACUACGUGCCAGCAGCCGCGGUAAUACGUAGGGCGCGAGCGUUGUCCGGAAUUAUUGGGCGUAAAGAGCUCGUAGGCGGCUUGUCACGUCGGUUGUGAAAGCCCGGGGCUUAACCCCGGGUCUGCAGUCGAUACGGGCAGGCUAGAGUUCGGUAGGGGAGAUCGGAAUUCCUGGUGUAGCGGUGAAAUGCGCAGAUAUCAGGAGGAACACCGGUGGCGAAGGCGGAUCUCUGGGCCGAUACUGACGCUGAGGAGCGAAAGCGUGGGGAGCGAACAGGAUUAGAUACCC
Molecule: ribosomal RNA, 759 nt
Filed under: Streptomyces sp. Sp080513M2-16
Lineage: Bacteria; Bacillati; Actinomycetota; Actinomycetes; Kitasatosporales; Streptomycetaceae
Description: bacterial SSU rRNA
Rfam family: Bacterial small subunit ribosomal RNA
Source: RNAcentral